RNAcentral lists this transfer RNA (87 nucleotides) under Pseudomonadaceae bacterium NAS3. RNAcentral describes it as "tRNA-Ser". The stretch from base 1 to 75 matches the Rfam family "tRNA". From Rfam's summary of the family: Transfer RNA (tRNA) molecules are approximately 80 nucleotides in length. Their secondary structure includes four short double-helical elements and three loops (D, anti-codon, and T loops). The record is from RNAcentral. Lineage: Bacteria; Pseudomonadati; Pseudomonadota; Gammaproteobacteria; Pseudomonadales; Pseudomonadaceae.
GGAAGCGUGGCCGAGUGGUUUAAGGCAACGGUCUUGAAAACCGUCGAUGGGCAACUAUCCUAGAGUUCGAAUCUAAGGUUCCUUCCA